GGAUAUGAGGACAAUCUGGCUGUGACAUCUGUCCCCUCAUUGAUCUCCCGAGUUGAUUCAACUGAUCUAGAUGUCUUGGAGGGUGUCCCCUUUCUCUCUCACCGCUCCAGGUCUCUCCCAAAGCUGCAUGCUCAGUUGGAGGAGAUGGUUUUCCCUGAUGGAGGAGGACAUUCUUCAGUCAAGGAUGUACAAGUAACUCUGUUUCCCUGCUGGAACCUCUAGACAAGCUCUCAAAGCUCAUCCAGACCUUAGUAGUGCCUGAAGUGGGCAUUGCUUUGG
Molecule: small nuclear RNA, 279 nt
Filed under: Carlito syrichta (Philippine tarsier)
Lineage: Eukaryota; Metazoa; Chordata; Mammalia; Primates; Tarsiidae
Description: 7SK RNA (ENSTSYG00000034424.1)
Rfam family: 7SK RNA
About the family: 7SK was discovered as an abundant small nuclear RNA in the mid-70s but a possible function has only recently been suggested. Two independent studies have found that 7SK RNA binds the CDK9/cyclin T complex (known as elongation factor P-TEFb). P-TEFb activates transcription by phosphorylating the C-terminal domain of RNA polymerase II.
Source: RNAcentral